UACGAGGGGGGCGAGCGUUGUUCGGAAUUAUUGGGCGUAAAGGGUGCGUAGGCGGUUCCGCAAGUCCUGUGUGAAAUCUUCGGGCUUAACUCGAAGCCUGCACGGGAAACUGCGGGGCUUGAGUGUGGGAGAGGUGAGUGGAAUUCCCGGUGUAGCGGUGAAAUGCGUAGAUAUCGGGAGGAGCACCUGUGGCGAAAGCGGCUCACUGGACCAUAACUGACGCUGAGGCGCGAAAGCUAGGGGAGCAAACAGG
This 253-nucleotide ribosomal RNA is filed under the name uncultured bacterium. RNAcentral's name for it is "partial 16S ribosomal RNA". It matches the Rfam family "Bacterial small subunit ribosomal RNA", at positions 524 to 776 of the family's 1533-position model. The record is from RNAcentral.